CCUACGUGAGGCAGCAGUGGGGAAUAUUGGACAAUGGGCGAAAGCCUGAUCCAGCCAUGCCGCGUGUGUGAAGAAGGCCUUCGGGUUGUAAAGCACUUUCAGUGGGGAAGAAAGCCUUGGGGCUAAUGCCCUCGAGGAAGGACAUCACCCACAGAAGAAGCACCGGCUAACUCCGUGCCAGCAGCCGCGGUAAUACGGAGGGUGCGAGCGUUAAUCGGAAUUACUGGGCGUAAAGCGCGCGUAGGCGGUCUGAUAAGCCGGUUGUGAAAGCCCCGGGCUCAACCUGGGAACGGCAUCCGGAACUGUCAGGCUAGAGUGCAGGAGAGGAAGGUAGAAUUCCCGGUGUAGCGGUGAAAUGCGUAGAGAUCGGGAGGAAUACCAGUGGCGAAGGCGGCCUUCUGGACUGACACUGACGCUGAGGUGCGAAAGCGUGGGUAGCAAACAGGAUUAGAUACCCUAGUAGUC
RNAcentral lists this ribosomal RNA (465 nucleotides) under Vreelandella stevensii. Its description in RNAcentral is "partial 16S ribosomal RNA". It matches the Rfam family "Bacterial small subunit ribosomal RNA", at positions 338 to 795 of the family's 1533-position model. Lineage: Bacteria; Pseudomonadati; Pseudomonadota; Gammaproteobacteria; Oceanospirillales; Halomonadaceae. The record is from RNAcentral.